This is a long non-coding RNA of Spinacia oleracea (spinach), 832 nucleotides long. RefSeq lists it as uncharacterized. The record is from RefSeq and is a predicted model, not a curated record. The transcript has 2 exons. NCBI's taxonomy places the organism in Eukaryota, Viridiplantae, Streptophyta, Magnoliopsida, Caryophyllales, Amaranthaceae.
GGUAGAGCUGGCAAAAGCUUACCCAACCCACUAACCCGACCCGAACCCAACCCGUUAUUAAAGGGUUGGGUCAAGAUUUUUCAACUCGUUUAGUUAAAUAGGUCGACCCAACCCAACCCGUUUAUUAAAUGGGUUGGGUCAGGUUGAAAAUUUCAACCCGAAGACAACCCGCCUAACCCGUUUAAUUAUUGGGUCAUAGGUUAACCCGCCAACCCGGCCAAUCCGCCAACCCGUUUAAAAGUUUAAAGAAAAAUUACUGGAUAUCCUAAAUCAUUUUGGGCUUUAUGGUUUGGGCUUCUCUUCUUCUCUACUCAUAUAUAAAGAAAAACCCUAAAAAUCUCUCACAAAUUCACUCUCACGGUCUCCCCUCUCUCAGUCUCUCCUCUCUAACUCUCGCACUCACUCAUUCUCUCACUAUGACUUAAACCCACCGCGCCGCCGCUUGUUGGUUUCCACUCACCCACCACGCCCCUCGUCGGUCUCCGGCUCUCCGCUCACCGCGCCGCUCUCUCACUCACUCCGUCACUCUAAUUCAAUGCAGUACAUUGUUGAAGGUGGAAGAUCAAGUUGAUGUACUUUGUGACUGUGGAUACUCAACCCUCACCCUGCUUCACCAGGAACUCCAACAAGUUUGAUGCUUAGAUAGGGCUAGCGUAUUAUAAACUAGCAUUGAACAAUUACAUAUAUGAGUUUGUAUUUGAAUUUUAGUUUUAUGUCAAGAAUUUCGGAUUUGGUAAUGUAGUAAGCCUUAAUUUCGGAUUUGGUGACUUAUUAAGACUUAAUGACUUGUAACAAUGCAUUCACUAAUUGCAAAUAUUGCCAAUUCGAUUCA